AUGGACUGGACCUGGAGCAUCCUUUUCUUGGUGGCAGCAGCAACAGGUGCCCACUCCCAGGUGCAGCUGGUGCAGUCUGGAGCUGAGGUGAAGAAGCCUAGAGCCUCAGUGAAGGUCUCCUGCAAGGCUUCUGGUUACACCUUUACCAGCUACUAUAUGCACUGGGUGUGACAGGCCCCUGAACAAGGGCUUGAGUGGAUGGGAUGGAUCAACACUUACAAUGGUAACACAAACUACCCACAGAAGCUCCAGGGCAGAGUCACCAUGACCAGAGACACAUCCACGAGCACAGCCUACAUGGAGCUGAGCAGCCUGAGAUCUGACGACAUGGCCGUGUAUUACUGUGCGAGAGA
This 353-nucleotide long non-coding RNA is filed under the name Homo sapiens (human). RNAcentral's name for it is "non-protein coding lnc-GOLGA6L6-8:1". Lineage: Eukaryota; Metazoa; Chordata; Mammalia; Primates; Hominidae. The record is from RNAcentral.